This 2906-nucleotide ribosomal RNA is filed under the name Enterobacter roggenkampii. Its description in RNAcentral is "23S ribosomal RNA". It matches the Rfam family "Bacterial large subunit ribosomal RNA". Lineage: Bacteria; Pseudomonadati; Pseudomonadota; Gammaproteobacteria; Enterobacterales; Enterobacteriaceae. The record is from RNAcentral.
GGUUAAGCGACUAAGCGUACACGGUGGAUGCCCUGGCAGUCAGAGGCGAUGAAGGACGUGCUAAUCUGCGAAAAGCGCCGGCGAGGUGAUAUGAACCUUUGACCCGGCGAUGUCCGAAUGGGGAAACCCAGUGUGAUUCGUCACACUAUCGUUAACUGAAUACAUAGGUUAACGAGGCGAACCGGGGGAACUGAAACAUCUAAGUACCCCGAGGAAAAGAAAUCAACCGAGAUUCCCCCAGUAGCGGCGAGCGAACGGGGAGCAGCCCAGAGUCUGAAUCAGCUUGUGUGUUAGUGGAAGCGUCUGGAAAGUCGCACGGUACAGGGUGACAGUCCCGUACACGAAAGCACACAGGCUGUGAACUCGAAGAGUAGGGCGGGACACGUGGUAUCCUGUCUGAAUAUGGGGGGACCAUCCUCCAAGGCUAAAUACUCCUGACUGACCGAUAGUGAACCAGUACCGUGAGGGAAAGGCGAAAAGAACCCCGGCGAGGGGAGUGAAAUAGAACCUGAAACCGUGUACGUACAAGCAGUGGGAGCACCUUCGUGGUGUGACUGCGUACCUUUUGUAUAAUGGGUCAGCGACUUAUAUUCUGUAGCAAGGUUAACCGUAUAGGGGAGCCGAAGGGAAACCGAGUCUUAACUGGGCGUUAAGUUGCAGGGUAUAGACCCGAAACCCGGUGAUCUAGCCAUGGGCAGGUUGAAGGUUGGGUAACACUAACUGGAGGACCGAACCGACUAAUGUUGAAAAAUUAGCGGAUGACUUGUGGCUGGGGGUGAAAGGCCAAUCAAACCGGGAGAUAGCUGGUUCUCCCCGAAAGCUAUUUAGGUAGCGCCUCGUGAACUCAUCUUCGGGGGUAGAGCACUGUUUCGGCUAGGGGGCCAUCCCGGCUUACCAACCCGAUGCAAACUACGAAUACCGAAGAAUGUUAUCACGGGAGACACACGGCGGGUGCUAACGUCCGUCGUGAAGAGGGAAACAACCCAGACCGCCAGCUAAGGUCCCAAAGUCAUGGUUAAGUGGGAAACGAUGUGGGAAGGCACAGACAGCCAGGAUGUUGGCUUAGAAGCAGCCAUCAUUUAAAGAAAGCGUAAUAGCUCACUGGUCGAGUCGGCCUGCGCGGAAGAUGUAACGGGGCUAAACCAUGCACCGAAGCUGCGGCAGCGACGCGUAUGCGUUGUUGGGUAGGGGAGCGUUCUGUAAGCCGUUGAAGGUGGCCUGUGAGGGUUGCUGGAGGUAUCAGAAGUGCGAAUGCUGACAUAAGUAACGAUAAAGCGGGUGAAAAGCCCGCUCGCCGGAAGACCAAGGGUUCCUGUCCAACGUUAAUCGGGGCAGGGUGAGUCGACCCCUAAGGCGAGGCCGAAAGGCGUAGUCGAUGGGAAACAGGUUAAUAUUCCUGUACUUGGUGUUACUGCGAAGGGGGGACGGAGAAGGCUAUGUUAGCCGGGCGACGGUUGUCCCGGUUUAAGCAUGUAGGCGGAACGAUUAGGUAAAUCCGGUCGUUUUUUAACGCUGAGGUGUGAUGACGAGGCACUACGGUGCUGAAGUAACAAAUGCCCUGCUUCCAGGAAAAGCCUCUAAGCAUCAGGUAACAUCAAAUCGUACCCCAAACCGACACAGGUGGUCAGGUAGAGAAUACCAAGGCGCUUGAGAGAACUCGGGUGAAGGAACUAGGCAAAAUGGUGCCGUAACUUCGGGAGAAGGCACGCUGAUAUGUAGGUGAAGCCCCUGCGGGUGGAGCUGAAAUCAGUCGAAGAUACCAGCUGGCUGCAACUGUUUAUUAAAAACACAGCACUGUGCAAACACGAAAGUGGACGUAUACGGUGUGACGCCUGCCCGGUGCCGGAAGGUUAAUUGAUGGGGUUAGCGGCAACGCGAAGCUCUUGAUCGAAGCCCCGGUAAACGGCGGCCGUAACUAUAACGGUCCUAAGGUAGCGAAAUUCCUUGUCGGGUAAGUUCCGACCUGCACGAAUGGCGUAAUGAUGGCCAGGCUGUCUCCACCCGAGACUCAGUGAAAUUGAACUCGCUGUGAAGAUGCAGUGUACCCGCGGCAAGACGGAAAGACCCCGUGAACCUUUACUAUAGCUUGACACUGAACACUGGUCCUUGAUGUGUAGGAUAGGUGGGAGGCUUUGAAGCGUGGACGCCAGUCUGCGUGGAGCCGUCCUUGAAAUACCACCCUUUAAUGGCUGGUGUUCUAACGUAGACCCGUAAUCCGGGUUGCGGACAGUGUCUGGUGGGUAGUUUGACUGGGGCGGUCUCCUCCCAAAGAGUAACGGAGGAGCACGAAGGUUAGCUAAUCCUGGUCGGACAUCAGGAGGUUAGUGCAAUGGCAUAAGCUAGCUUGACUGCGAGAGUGACGGCUCGAGCAGGUGCGAAAGCAGGUCAUAGUGAUCCGGUGGUUCUGAAUGGAAGGGCCAUCGCUCAACGGAUAAAAGGUACUCCGGGGAUAACAGGCUGAUACCGCCCAAGAGUUCAUAUCGACGGCGGUGUUUGGCACCUCGAUGUCGGCUCAUCACAUCCUGGGGCUGAAGUAGGUCCCAAGGGUAUGGCUGUUCGCCAUUUAAAGUGGUACGCGAGCUGGGUUUAGAACGUCGUGAGACAGUUCGGUCCCUAUCUGCCGUGGGCGCUGGAGAAUUGAGGGGGGCUGCUCCUAGUACGAGAGGACCGGAGUGGACGCAUCACUGGUGUUCGGGUUGUCAUGCCAAUGGCACUGCCCGGUAGCUAAAUGCGGAAAAGAUAAGUGCUGAAAGCAUCUAAGCACGAAACUUGCCCCGAGAUGAGUUCUCCCUGAGACUUUAAGUCUCCUGAAGGAACGUUGAAGACGACGACGUUGAUAGGUCGGGUGUGUAAGCGCAGCGAUGCGUUGAGCUAACCGAUACUAAUGAACCGUGAGGCUUAACCUU